This 163-nucleotide ribosomal RNA is filed under the name Amelanchier sp. 'rubra'. RNAcentral's name for it is "5.8S ribosomal RNA". It matches the Rfam family "5.8S ribosomal RNA". Rfam says of the family: 5.8S ribosomal RNA (5.8S rRNA) is a component of the large subunit of the eukaryotic ribosome. It is transcribed by RNA polymerase I as part of the 45S precursor that also contains 18S and 28S rRNA. The record is from RNAcentral. Lineage: Eukaryota; Viridiplantae; Streptophyta; Magnoliopsida; Rosales; Rosaceae.
AAAUGACUCUCGGCAAUGGAUAUCACAACUCUCACGUGGAUGAAGAACGUAGCGAAAUGCGAUACUUGGUGUGAAUUGCAGAAUCCCGUGAACCAUCGAGUCUUUGAACGCAAGUUGCACCCGAAGCCAUUAGGCCGAGGGCACGUCUGCCUAGGCUUCACAU